UACGUAGGUGGCAAGCGUUGUCCGGAUUUAUUGGGCGUAAAGCGAGCGCAGGCGGUUCCUUAAGUCUGAUGUGAAAGCCCACGGCUCAACCGUGGAGGGUCAUUGGAAACUGGUCGACUUGAGUGCAGAAGAGGGAAGUGGAAUUCCAUGUGUAGCGGUGAAAUGCGUAGAGAUAUGGAGGAACACCAGUGGCGAAGGCGGCUUCCUGGUCUGUAACUGACACUGAGGCGCGAAAGCGUGGGGAGCAAACAGGAUUAGAUA
Molecule: ribosomal RNA, 261 nt
Filed under: uncultured prokaryote
Description: partial 16S ribosomal RNA
Rfam family: Bacterial small subunit ribosomal RNA
Source: RNAcentral